Molecule: non-coding RNA, 2686 nt
Organism: Misgurnus anguillicaudatus (oriental weatherfish)
Lineage: Eukaryota; Metazoa; Chordata; Actinopteri; Cypriniformes; Cobitidae
Source: RefSeq, a predicted model, not a curated record
UGUUUCAUAUCUUUUAAAUUUGUUAUAACCGGACUGCAUGCGAAUUUGAACUUCAGAGCUGAGGAAGCGGGUGGAGAAAUAGUCCCAAUAUCAUAACAAUCUUAAAUAAAACUUCUAAAUAUGCCCGUGUGUGUACCCGUGUGCGCGCGCGCGUGCGCGCGACCCGCUCACGCGCGCGUGUGUAUGUACAGUAUGUGCGUGAGUUUUUAAUUUAAAAUGUCUUAACUUAACUCGGAAGGAUCUGAAUGACAGGUCAUUUCAUCUGAGAUCAUUCCGCAUGUAACAACCGGAAUCACUCACUGUUUCCCACAACGACACGAGUCAUCAGCCGUUUCCUCAAGGUCACGUCAGGUAAGUGUUUGUAAAUAAAUGUUAAUUUUAGACUAUAUUAAUUGGCAAAGACGCAAAUACUCGACGUUUUUGUAAACAUAUAAGUUAUAUAAAGGUGUGUUAUGUUAUGUGACCGACUUAAAGUGUGUGUUACGUUAUGUGUCCGAGUUAAAGUGGAGCUAUUUUAGUUAAGAUAAUACCGGACAGGGUUUAGGACUCCGUCUUAAUUAUAAUUGGGACAUUUUUACAAACAAACCUUAUAAAAUACAAUACUGGCGUGCAUUUUGAGACAAAACAAUAGCACUCAUAUGUUAAGAGAUGUCAGUAUUUUAGUCAGUGAUAAGUCCUGUCCGAGAAAACCGCCCAAUAGUGUUUAAUUCAAUUACGUGUGAUGUCUGAGGGAAACUUGGCAAUUUUAGGGUAUAAAAUCUUUCACCACAAGCUUUAUUAUAUUAAACAUGUUAUUUAUGUAUGUGUGUGUGUUUAUAUUCCUCUGUUUAUUAAACCAGAGGGGUGGUGAUGUGGAAAGGCAGACCAGACCACCACCAUACGCGAAGAUGAGCCUCGAGGCUUCACAGUUAUUUUUUCAAACUGAGGAGUUCGGACUCCGGACCGUCAUUUCUGCUUGUUUGUACCCUGAGAUAACCAUGGUUAAUAAAUGGUCAGACACGUCACUGGCUUUAAAAUAUAAACCCCAUUGAUGCAAAAAGAUGCUGCAUGGAAUGACAAUGUGGUUUGGAACAGACUUGGUGAAGAACAUGGAAACAUCUCUUAAUAAAAUGGCCCCAAACAUCAUCAGGAGUGCAAAAGAAGGAAGUAAAAACAUCUCUACGCCAAUCUCAUUGGAGAGGAAACCACAGAAGGUCUGGUGAGGAAUGCUGCACUUAUGUUAUUGCAAGCAUUAUUUCAAGAAAAUCCCAGCUUCCUUUACUGUGUAAAUAGUGAACCCAAAGGUCCCACACCAACCAUAGUGUUCAACGGCUCUCCUGAUCUUUUCAAAUCUGAAUGUCGGAGAAGCGGACCGCCCCUGUCGCGGAUCACGCUCCUCCUAGUUCCACCUCGAGGAGGUCCCAAAGCACCCCAAUGACCAGACAAACCAGAGGGGGAGUAUUACGGGGCCAGGGACGUUGGAGGGGUUUCCACGUGACUCCAGCUGGAACACCGCUACAGAGCGUAUCUGGGUGGGUUGGGCACACACCGUCGCGGCGGCCCCUGAUGGCAUCCACAAGGGUCCGAGACCCUCCUAAGCUCCUUGCCGUAGCAGAACUACGUAUUUCAGCACCCGAAGGACUAACAACCCAGCCGGCAUCUGCAGCGUAUAUCCAACGCGAUCAAACUUCACUCUGACAAGUAACUUCCUAUACACAACCACUCCGUCCUUUCGCCCGGACCAGCCCCGCACUCUUUCCGCCCGCUACCUAGCGGUCGCCGGAUCAGCAGAGCCUGCGGACUCUUCGGAGGCUGGUCUUCGUUGUGCUGCCCAAGGCGAAAGUUGACUCGCCCGAAAAUCGACCCUUCCAGUAACUUCUACCUUCUCUCUUUAUAUCCUCCUCCCAGGCGUGGCUCGCCCAACCAUCGCUCGCCACGUCACUCACACAGCUGUGCCUUGUUUCAGCGAGUGCAGGGAUUCCCCGGGGAAGUGCCGGUGUCUGUACAAACCGGUCCGGGCGGAACCUCUUCACUCUCCUUUUGGUUCCGCCCCGCAUAGUCACUCCGUGACAACUGUUUGCGUUUUUUUUUUCUCCUCAAUGUUCAAUACCCUUUUGCCAUUAAGCACACAGUGACUUUAAUUUAUAAAAUAUAUGCUUAAGUUUUAAUACCUGUACAAAACAAAUGUACAAUCAACUUGUGUAAAUUUUAAUAAAAAUUUAAGCUUUAAUUGCUUGUUCAUGUUAGUUCAGAGUGCAUUAACUAAUGUUAACAAGAUUUUAAUAAAGUAAUUGUUGAAAUUAACAUUAACAAAGAUUAAUAAAGGCUGUAUAAGUGCAGUUCAUUAUUAGUUCAUGUUAACUAAUGUAGCUAACUAAUGUUAACUAAUGAACCUUAUUGUAAAGUGUUACCGUGAUUUCUUUUCAUCAUUUCAGACACAUGUAAAAGUUACUAAAAAUUGUAUAGUGUAAUGUAUAGUGUAAUUAAGAGUUUAGCUGUUUAAUACAGAGAUGCAAUUUAUUUAUAUAUAUUAUUUAAACGUAUGUAUGUUUAUUAAAAAGUGAAAAUGCUUAAUGGAAAUAAUUAAAUAACUAAAUGGUUGAAUGUAAUGAGACAUUUUAAAUGUAAACUAAAGUUUUGCUGUCUAAUACAGAAUAAAGAGAUGUGAUUUUAAGUAAUUUUUAUAGAUUUAUAUUUCUGUAUAAUA